UACGUAGGGGGCAAGCGUUGUCCGGAUUUAUUGGGCGUAAAGAGCGUGUAGGCGUCCAGACAAGUCUGCUGUGAAAACUCGAGGCUCAACCUCGAGCUGUCGGUGGAAACUGUCUGGCUAGAGUCCGGAAGAGGAGAGUGGAAUUCCUGGUGUAGCGGUGAAAUGCGCAGAUAUCAGGAAGAACACCAAUGGCGAAAGCAGCUCUCUGGGACGGUACUGACGCUGAGACGCGAAAGCGUGGGGAGCGAACAGG
RNAcentral lists this ribosomal RNA (253 nucleotides) under uncultured bacterium. RNAcentral describes it as "partial 16S ribosomal RNA". It matches the Rfam family "Bacterial small subunit ribosomal RNA", at positions 524 to 776 of the family's 1533-position model. The record is from RNAcentral.